RNAcentral lists this ribosomal RNA (482 nucleotides) under uncultured bacterium. Its description in RNAcentral is "partial 16S ribosomal RNA". It matches the Rfam family "Bacterial small subunit ribosomal RNA", at positions 30 to 507 of the family's 1533-position model. The record is from RNAcentral.
AUUGAACGCUGGCGGCAUGCCUUACACAUGCAAGUCGAACGGUAACAGGUCUUCGGAUGCUGACGAGUGGCGAACGGGUGAGUAAUACAUCGGAACGUGCCCGAUCGUGGGGGAUAGCGAGGCGAAAGCUUUGCUAAUACCGCAUACGAUCUACGUAUGAAAGCGGGGGAUCUUCGGACCUCGCGCGGACGGAGCGGCCGAUGGCAGAUUAGGUAGUUGGUGGGAUAAAAGCUUACCAAGCCGACGAUCUGUAGCUGGUCUGAGAGGAUGAUCAGCCACACUGGGACUGAGACACGGCCCAGACUCCUACGGGAGGCAGCAGUGGGGAAUUUUGGACAAUGGGCGAAAGCCUGAUCCAGCCAUGCCGCGUGCAGGAUGAAGGCCUUUGGGUUGUAAACUGCUUUUGUACGGAACGAAAAGCCUCUUUCUAAUAAAGAGGGGUCAUGACGGUACCGUAAGAAUAAGCACCGGCUAACUACGUG